AUAAUUUUAUUUUUAAUUGUAAGCUUCAGUAAUAGAUAUGUAAAUAAAUAAAUAAAAUUCGAUAAUAAAAUCCUUUACUUAGACAGAACUAUACAUGUGAGUGAAUUUUAAAGUUAAGAGUUACUUA
Rhagoletis zephyria (snowberry fruit fly) is the source of this 127-nucleotide long non-coding RNA. RefSeq lists it as uncharacterized. NCBI's taxonomy places the organism in Eukaryota, Metazoa, Arthropoda, Insecta, Diptera, Tephritidae. The record is from RefSeq and is a predicted model, not a curated record.